Molecule: ribosomal RNA, 253 nt
Filed under: uncultured bacterium
Lineage: Bacteria
Description: partial 16S ribosomal RNA
Rfam family: Bacterial small subunit ribosomal RNA
Source: RNAcentral
UACAGAGGUCCCAAGCGUUGUUCGGAUUCACUGGGCGUAAAGGGUGCGUAGGUGGCGGGGUAAGUUUGAUGUGAAAUCUCCGAGCUCAACUCGGAAAUGGCAUUGAAUAUUACUCUGCUCGAGGUUUGGAGGGGGGACUGGAAUUCUCGGUGUAGCAGUGAAAUGCGUAGAUAUCGAGAGGAACACCAGUGGCGAAGGCGAGUCCCUGGACAACACCUGACACUGAGGCACGAAAGCUAGGGGAGCAAACAGG